UACGUAGGGAGCAAGCGUUGUCCGGAAUCAUUGGGCGUAAAGCGCGCGUAGGUGGCCUCAUAAGUCCGCUGUGAAAGUCAAAGGCUCAACCUUUGAAAGCCGGUGGAUACUGUGGGGCUAGAGUACGGAAGAGGCGAGUGGAAUUCCUGGUGUAGCGGUGGAAUGCGCAGAUAUCAGGAGGAACACCAAUAGCGAAGGCAGCUCGCUGGGACGUUACUGACACUGAGGCGCGAAAGCGUGGGGAACGAACAGG
RNAcentral lists this ribosomal RNA (253 nucleotides) under uncultured bacterium. RNAcentral's name for it is "partial 16S ribosomal RNA". It matches the Rfam family "Bacterial small subunit ribosomal RNA", at positions 524 to 776 of the family's 1533-position model. The record is from RNAcentral.